AGCUUUGUGCAGUGGGAGUACCGUAGCCAAUGAAGUUUAACCGAGGCACAGUUAUUGCUAAUUGAAAACUUUUCCCAAUACCCCACCAUGACGACUUGAAAUAUAGUUGGCGUUGGCAAUUUUUGGCAGUCUCUAUGGUGA
Small nuclear RNA from Callithrix jacchus (white-tufted-ear marmoset), 141 nucleotides. Its record names the gene U4. It matches the Rfam family "U4 spliceosomal RNA". From Rfam's summary of the family: U4 small nuclear RNA (U4 snRNA) is a component of the major U2-dependent spliceosome. The record is from Ensembl. Lineage: Eukaryota; Metazoa; Chordata; Mammalia; Primates; Cebidae.